CCCGAGGCCGUCCCCUCUCAUCCUACCUCCCUUACCCAGAGCAGAGGCCGCCCCCCACCUCACUACCACCUCCUCUCAGCAGUAGAGUCUUUCCCAGGCCCUGUGCUGUGCUGCAGACGGACCCAUCCCUUUCCCCCACUGCUCCCCAUGAGGCCUGGGGGGGCGCUGGGCUGUGGGUGAAUGGCGUUGUCUCUGGCAGCACAUACAGCAAGAGGGAUGAAGGGUGACCUCAUUACAGCCUUCCAGGACCUACAGGGAGCCUCCAAACAGGAGGGGAGGCAACUGGGGAGUUGCUCUUUACAAAGUGGUCUGCAGGGCACUGCUGUCUUCAUGUCACUUGAACACAAAGCUGAUGGAAAGGGGAAUGCCUAAAGAUCAAAAGCCAAAUCUUUGGUGUUUGUGAGGAAAAAAAAUGCCCAGCAGCCGUCCUGCAGCACAUCAGUGCUUUGUCUGACUGCGGUGUGAAGGUGUUGCUCGGGACCAGGGACACUUGGACUGGUUGGUGCUACACACUCUUAGGCUACACCAUGAACAGCCUUCAUUUUCCCCUUAAGGAAUGCUGACCUUCCAGCUCCUUCCCACUGCUCCCUGUACCAAGGGGACACUUUGUUGAUGCGAGGAGUGGUGAGCAUAUUGAAGACUGACAGGAGAAAUCACUUUGUGUCUCAAAGCACACACUGGGCCCAGCAGUCCUUGGUGGUGACUGGCAGCCUGGAGACGUCAGGCAGCAUCAGGACCCACUGGCUGCUGUGUUGCUGUGACCUCUGGAACGAGCAAACAGCUCCCACCUUCCUCCUCCAUCCCAGAGCGCCCUGCAGGAGCCGCUGUUCUCUUGUACAGCUCUGUAAGAUGUGAGCAAGCAGAGGAGCAGCACCUUGAAGGAACAUCCAGACACAGCCCUCCUGCUUCCUGACCUCAGCACAGGGAUGCUGAUCUCUGCAAUGCCCUGUCCUUGUCCCCAGGCUCCUCCAGCCCGUUCUUCCAGCCCAGUCCCUCUCACUGGCAGCUCAGCAGUGGUGAGGAUUAAAAAUCAAAAGCAUCCUGCAACAACUACUCCUCUACCUAGGAAAGCACCAAGUCACUCCUGGUUCUACCGCUGUGAUGAGCAAAGGAAACCUUGAGGGAUAGGUUGGGACUUGUUACACUUAGCACUGCUCCCUUCCUCUUUUAGCUAGUAGGCAAUUAUCAGAUCCGAUCAACAGAAACAGACCUUUCCCAGAGCACAGCUCUUGUGCAGUGUUCUGCAGGUUUGGCCAACUGCACGCCUUCGGUGCUUCAGAUCCACCUCACGGUGUUCAGUGUGGCACUCGUGAAUCUUCACUGGGCCCUUCACUGUCCAGGAGGGGACAAUGGGCUGAGCUCUUCCAUCGAGCCUGCAGUCCCCAUUACAUCGCUUUCACUCCCAGCAGCUAUUCAGUUCCUGAGUUCUAUAGUUCCUGCAUUUACUGCCUCCCAUGCAUGGGCUGUUCUCCCUCUCUGAUGCAUAGAAAUGUUGAGCUAAACUAUGAGUUGGCAGCUUGGAAGCUUUUCUUCCAGGUACAAUCUCUGCUUCCUAAGCAGGUUUUUGAGGAUGUGUCUAUUGCAGCUUUCAGCACAUCAGUGACAAUCACAGCCAACCUCAUGGUCACUGAGAACUUCAGUUUGCUGCUUGGCCUCUUUGCCUGGAAACAACAGGAUGUUUGUUUGAGAAUGGAGCAAACAAGAUGUGACACUGUGGAGGCUUUUCAGCUUAAAGGGACCACUUCCAUCCCAGAACGCCGGUCUCAUCCCAGCUCUGCAGGCAGCCACGGCACGUGGGCCUUUUUGGAAAUGCACCUGAAGACCGCUUUGGGAUCCUUCCAUCCCACACUUCCUGGCAGGCUGCUCCAGAGCCUUCCUCCUGAGGUUGUGAGUGCUGACUUCUAAACGCUGGGAUGUUCCCACCCGUCUCCACAGCAGUACCCCUCACACUCAGAAAGGUGGUGCUCUUGCAUAUUUUUACUCUUUUUUCUUCCUUACUUUGUAAGGCUAGAACAGUAAAGCUCCUCAAGCCUAAUGAAGCAGCAGGUUUUUACUCUUUGCAGUACUCUUAAGAAGUGAUAAAUAUUGCCUGGAUUUAAACGUUACUGCCAGUCACGUUUGUUGUUGCAGUGAUCUCAAGCUCGUGUUGUCUCUGACAGCUGAAGGACAGCAGAGCUCCAGGAACUGAAGCCUUUCAGUCAAGUGAACUCUAAAGUAAGAAAACAAUCGUAUUGGUUUGUCUCAAUCAUCUGUGGCCAUUCCGAGAACGUGCAAAUGGCUCAUUAGCAGUUGUAGUGCUUUCACCAGUUAUUAAAUUCUGCUGGGCCAGUAAGCAAAGUCAAACUGUGUUGCAGUUGCAGAUGAAGUUGGUGCAAAGCAGCAGGGAUGAGGGCUGCAGUGGUGCGUCAGCUGUGGGUCACCACUGCGAGCUGCCUGCACAACAAAGCCUGUAAUUUAAUGCCCUUGGCAGUUAUUUGUGCAUCUGUAUCUCAUGAUUCAGGCUGACAAAAACAUUCCCAAUUCAGAACAUAAGAAAAAGUAUAAAAAUGGGAGUGAUACCACAUGUCUGUGCUGGUUCCCAGUCACUCUGAAUGGGUUAGAUGGUGCUUAUCUCAAUUUCAGAACAGUAAGCUUGGCCUGCAGGAUGGAUUUCAUGCUCUAAGUAUGCAGACAAAACUCUUCCUGGUUGGAGGAUAAUUCUGAUGAGUUCUCGAGUCACCAAUCCAAGAAUGGAGGUGUGGAAGGAGCCCAAGGGGAGCAGCUGCUUCCAUCAGUGAGGGAGCAGGUACUGAUCUCAUGAGCAGACACAGAAUCACACAGAAUCAUAGAGUCAUAGAGUGGCUUGGGUUGGAAGGGACCUCAAGGAUCAUGGAGCUCCAACCCCCCACCACACACAGGGCCACCAACCUCCCCAUUCCAUACCAGCCCAGGCUGCCCAGGGCCCCAUCCAACCUGGCCUUCAACACCUCCACGGAUGGACGGGGCAUCCACAGCCUCUCUGGGCAGCUGUUCCAGCACCUCACCGCUCUCAUAUCAAAGAACUUCUCCCUCACAU
Gallus gallus (chicken) is the source of this 3055-nucleotide long non-coding RNA. The record is from Ensembl. Lineage: Eukaryota; Metazoa; Chordata; Aves; Galliformes; Phasianidae.